This 245-nucleotide ribosomal RNA is filed under the name uncultured Telmatospirillum sp. RNAcentral describes it as "partial 16S ribosomal RNA". It matches the Rfam family "Bacterial small subunit ribosomal RNA", at positions 524 to 768 of the family's 1533-position model. Lineage: Bacteria; Pseudomonadati; Pseudomonadota; Alphaproteobacteria; Rhodospirillales; Rhodospirillaceae. The record is from RNAcentral.
UACGAAGGGGGCUAGCGUUGUUCGGAAUUACUGGGCGUAAAGCGCACGCAGGCGGCUCGUUAAAUUAGAAGUGAAAGCCCUGGGCUCAACCCGGGAAUUGCUUUUGAGACUGGCGAGCUUGAAUCCAGAAGAGGGUAGUGGAAUUCCAAGUGUAGAGGUGAAAUUCGUAGAUAUUUGGAAGAACACCAGUGGCGAAGGCGACUACCUGGUCUGGGAUUGACGCUCAUGUGCGAAAGCGUGGGGAG